GUUUUCAAGCUGGAAAAAUGAGUGGGGAUAGUGCUCUAUUUAUAGGGGAAGCAAAGGGGUUGAAGGGGGUGAACCAAAAGGUUCUUUGUGUAAAAAACAGAGCCAUUUUUGCUGCCUGCGCAGGUGUAAUCGGUUACACAGUCCCAAAAUGGCCAAAAAAUAAGUUUUUGGUCUGGGUAAUCGGUUACCCUGAUUAGGGUAACCGGUUACCCAAUUUUUUUUUGAAAU
This 228-nucleotide long non-coding RNA is filed under the name Lathyrus oleraceus (garden pea). RNAcentral's name for it is "Pisum sativum (pea) long non-coding RNA (PSAT_LNC034720)". Lineage: Eukaryota; Viridiplantae; Streptophyta; Magnoliopsida; Fabales; Fabaceae. The record is from RNAcentral.